This 1407-nucleotide long non-coding RNA is filed under the name Helianthus annuus (common sunflower). Lineage: Eukaryota; Viridiplantae; Streptophyta; Magnoliopsida; Asterales; Asteraceae. The record is from RNAcentral.
CACUAUGUUCAUGAGUUCCUUCACUUUGAAGUCAGAAGUCAGAAGUAAUAAGGGAUUUUGUUUUGGUUUUGUGGAAUUCAUGUCAUUGGAUUCCAUGCAUAGUGCUAUAAAGCAACUGUUAGUUUGAAUCCAAUGAUUCGAACAAUGGUUCCACCUCCGUUUCAGCAGAUGGCACCUGCACCAUGGCUUCCACCAUCACCACCAGUGAUCCGGACAAUGGUUCCACCUCCACUUAGCAGAUGGCACCUGCACCAUGGUUUCCACCAUCACCACCAGUGACUAGCGUUUUUUGGAACACCACAAAUGUGCAAGGUUGCCUGAAGGAACUCCGAAACACUUGAUCUUGCAGAAGCAAUGGAGAAAGAGUUGGAGAGGCUUAUUGCAAUGAAAGGUACCGAGCAGCAUAUUGAAGGAACAUAUGAUAAAGCUAAUGAAACUGCAACUGGAAGGCUUUUGAAGUUUUUAGAGAAUAACAGGAUAUCAUUGGAUACUAAAGAGAAAAUCUCACUGGAAGCAGCUAACGGUUUGAUGGUGAAGCUAAAAAACAAUCUUGAACCAUUUAAGGUUAUAACCGAGGAUAAAACGCCAUGGGAGAAGUCUGGAGCAGUGUGACUGUCGAAUAAAAUGCAAAAGCACAAAAGAAACAAACUUUGGCGGAAAAGAAAGAGACAACACGCUGGGGAAAUGCUUGCAAAAGAACACGAGCGAUUUAACCAAGUUGAUCAAGAAGGUAAUGAAUGGAGGGCUAGGGAAAUUGCAAAGGAAACCGCUAAGCGUAAGGUCGAGAAAAUGAAGGAAAUUGCAAAACAAAAGGCUAACGAGGAGAUAAGGAGAUAAGAAUCUGAGCUUGAGCUACUGUUGAUCGUGGAGAAGUUGCAAGAACUACAGUCCAUCAGUCAGAAAUUAACAAAACAAGAAACGCUUUCAAAAUGAUGAUCCUUUUAUGCCCAUGGAUGUUCCUUUUGGAAGCAUAUUUCUCCAAGAUCAAUUUAGCGCACCAAGAGGACUCAUGAUGCCUCCUUUUAUUCCAACUAAGGCUUUGAAGCUGUUGGGCCUCCUGAAGCUUUAUAGUGUUCAGUCUGUGAACAUUGGGAUGUCGAUGAUGUAUUCAAGACCUGGAUAUGUUUGGUGUUUCAUGUUUUUAAAUAAAUGUGUUUUUUACAAAGAUUUUUUAUUACUUAAAGAGGGGUAAUGUUCUAGAUAUGUUAGUUUUGUAAAUAAAUGUUCUUGCUACAUAUAGUCGACUGGACAAAGCUGUAAUGAAUCAUAUGGGGUAUGUACAAUAAGGAGGUUUCACACAUCAAAAGUACAUUUUCGGAUGUUAAGAACACUUCAUUAUGUUUACAUUACGUGUAAUGAUUGGCUUAAUCUAUACAUUUAUUUAGAACAGUUAAUUUUAAAAUUUAU